AGAAACGCAAUGACAAGAAGAGUACGGUUAAACGUCAUCCACAGAAAGGUGCAUGUUGGUGAAAGCACUGUUGAUGAAUAACCCGAAGAUGAUCUUCAAGCGACACCGUCGAUCCGAAUGUGGUUAGACGACGUUGGGUGCGCCCAUUACAGCGCCAGAGUAUCAGGUUUGUGCACGAACCUGGCACUUGGCGAGGAAACAAUCGCGAGGUUGCUUCAAAAUAAGGUGGUAACACGGAAAUCCGUCCUUUAU
RNAcentral lists this non-coding RNA (252 nucleotides) under Furfurilactobacillus rossiae. RNAcentral's name for it is "Lactobacillus rossiae T-box sequence". It matches the Rfam family "T-box leader". Rfam says of the family: Uncharged tRNA acts as the effector for transcription antitermination of genes in the T-box leader family. T-boxes are found upstream of many aminoacyl-tRNA synthetase genes and some amino acid biosynthetic genes usually in Gram-positive bacteria. Lineage: Bacteria; Bacillati; Bacillota; Bacilli; Lactobacillales; Lactobacillaceae. The record is from RNAcentral.